RNAcentral lists this ribosomal RNA (520 nucleotides) under uncultured bacterium. RNAcentral describes it as "bacterial SSU rRNA". It matches the Rfam family "Bacterial small subunit ribosomal RNA", at positions 120 to 674 of the family's 1533-position model. The record is from RNAcentral.
GGGAAUCUACCCAUCUCUGCGGAAUAGCUCCGGGAAACUGGAAUUAAUACCGCAUACGCCCUACGGGGGAAAGAUUUAUCGGGGAUGGAUGAGCCCGCGUUGGAUUAGCUAGUUGGUGGGGUAAAGGCCUACCAAGGCGACGAUCCAUAGCUGGUCUGAGAGGAUGAUCAGCCACAUUGGGACUGAGACGCGGCCCAAACUCCUACGGGAGGCAGCAGUGGGGAAUAUUGGACAAUGGGCGCAAGCCUGAUCCAGCCAUGCCGCGUGAGUGAUGAAGGCCUUAGGGUUGUAAAGCUCUUUCACCGAUGAAGAUAAUGACGGUAGUCGGAGAAGAAGCCCCGGCUAACUUCGUGCCAGCAGCCGCGGUAAUACGAAGGGGGCUAGCGUUGUUCGGAAUUACUGGGCGUAAAGCGCACGUAGGCGGAUAUUUAAGUCAGGGGUGAAAUCCCAGAGCUCAACUCUGGAACUGCCUUUGAUACUGGGUAUCUUGAGUAUGGAAGAGGUAAGUGGAAUUGCGAGU